UGAUGUCGCUAAAAUCGCAUUGUGUUGUUAUCAUGUCGAAAGUUCGUGCUGCUUUCUUUUUCUUUUUUUCCCUUUGUUUUUGGAAUAAAUUCAACACCAUAUUAAAUAUUGUGAGCUUUCAACAAUGUCAGGUUUUCUCACCAUACUACAACUAAUGACUGAACUGUUUUCCAUCUAUCUGAUCAAUCCUUCUGAUCCUUCUACUGUGAAAAUCAUCUUUACUUAUCAUAUGUUUGAAUGAGAUACAGAAACAGGUGCCUUCAGCAGUGUGGAGUUAAAUUGCUGUUACACUGUGCUGUUUUUCUUGAUCACUUGAAGCAACCAAAAAGAGAAAUAUGCCGAUGGCUACACAAAUAGCAUCCAUAUAUUCUUCUUUAUUAAUCCACAGCCCUAAUGGGAUAUGUGAGCAGGAUAGCACCUCCCUGGAGUUACCCUAGCACGGUAAUGGAUCAAGGACUGACGCCGAUUAUCACCUUCAGAUCUGCAGAUUGAAGCUGUUUGUGGUGCGUUACUUGAUUCUUGGUGACGACGGGAUGAUCGUAAUUUGAGUUCAAUCUACAUACGGGCCGGCCAGUUGGUUUGUCCUUCACGCUUGAAGGUGGCGGGGAACAUAACGUGUAAAACUGUCAAUGCGGUGGUGUAGAGGUUGGGUGAGAAUUGGACGUGUUGAAUCAUUAUCA
Daphnia pulicaria is the source of this 680-nucleotide long non-coding RNA. RefSeq lists it as uncharacterized. The transcript is spliced from 6 exons. The record is from RefSeq and is a predicted model, not a curated record. Lineage: Eukaryota; Metazoa; Arthropoda; Branchiopoda; Diplostraca; Daphniidae.